Molecule: long non-coding RNA, 851 nt
Filed under: Homo sapiens (human)
Lineage: Eukaryota; Metazoa; Chordata; Mammalia; Primates; Hominidae
Description: SLC39A13 antisense RNA 1
Source: RNAcentral
AGCAGCUGCCUCUGGGUGGUGGCAGAGAUGCCCAUGUCUAGGACCUCCAGGCCUUAACUAAUCAGGGGCACUGAUGAAGCCAGCGGGGCUCCACUGGGGACCACAGGCAAGACUGGGCCAGGACGAGGCGGUCACGCAGAGAAAGAAGAUAAAAGGGAACAGAAGAGAAAAUUCAAAAGGAGCACGGGCCUCCCCGGGAGUGGGCUUCAGCCUCCCUAGACUCCUGUCUCCUUCCAAGGGCUAGGCCUGGGGGACCAGAAGCAAGAGUCCCUAGAGCGUCCAAGAUUUUUGGUUUCAAACCAAUUUCCUGCUGACCAGAAUGAAAUGGAGCCACAUUCCAGCACGAUGCACCUGCUGACCUCCUGCAAGUCAGGGACCUUCUCUGCCCCUCUUUUGCUCUGCUGCAGGAGGGAGAAGCUGGGAAUGUGUUCCUCUGGGGUCCCAUCACCUCCAGCCAGCCACUGUCCCUGUCUCCCCAAAACCUCCUCGUUGUCCCUCCUCUGUCCUCCUCCUCCUCCAUCUGCCUUCGCCCUGCUCUCCUCUUUUUCGCCUGAGGUUCGUGCUGCCUCCUCACCUCUUGUCCUGUUUCUCCCUUCUCUCUGCUCCCUCCUUUGAUCUUGCUAUUUUGCUUCUCUUUCCCUUCCUCUCUUCUCCUCCCUCCCCUUCCUCCCUGCUCCCUGCCUCAGCUUCUCAGUCUCUCUCCGUUCUUCCUCUAGCUUCCUUCCCUCCCCAGAAGACCCAGCCCUUCCUAGAGCCCCAGAAGCCAGGGUUCAUGCCCCAGCUCUCUACCCACACAUGCUGUGCAACCCUGGGCCAGUCACUGGUCUCUUGGGCCUCAGUUCAACAGAUGG